UAUUGUAUAUAAACAUCCGUGUAUCGCUUGUUGAAAUACGAAGACCACAGUUCAUUUUACAACAAAUUUGGACUUUUCAUUUUUAAAUUCAAUCCAGAUCUUGAAGUAUUAUAGUAAUUCGUUGUAUUCUUAAAUUCAACACAUUAAUACUAGAGCUUACUUGAUUAUGGUACUAUGGCUCAAAUGUGCACAGACAGACAGAUUUUAGUAGAUGGAAUUGAACUGCAGCAUACGGAUCAUUAUGUUUCACCUGAGGGUCAACCUUAUAGAACUCUAACUGAAGCAACAAGGGAGUCAGGUGAAGGAAGAGCUCAGGGAAAUUUUGAAGAAGCCCGAAAGAAAAAUCGUUCGGAACUAGUCUUGAUAUUUGUUUUCAUUAUAGGUUUUACUAUCACAUUAGUGCAUUUACAUUUAAAAUAUUAACAUGUAUUGUUGUCACUAAAGAAUAUUCUUAUGUUCACUUUGUCAUAUUUCUGUAACUGUUAAAAUAAAAUUUUAAGAUUGCA
Long non-coding RNA from Mytilus californianus (California mussel), 506 nucleotides. RefSeq lists it as uncharacterized. Lineage: Eukaryota; Metazoa; Mollusca; Bivalvia; Mytilida; Mytilidae. The record is from RefSeq and is a predicted model, not a curated record. The transcript has 3 exons.